CCGACCGUCUCGCAUCUUCUGGUCUGGAUUCCCAGGUCAUUCCCUGUAACUCACCAGCACUCAGAUUCUAACUACUUUUCCGGGUUUAAUCUGGAGUUACUGUUUUAAGGGCAAUUUGUUUGCUGGUUUGGGGCUGGGUUGCAAGAACCAGCCACCCCACGAAUGACCAAAAACAAACUCCAAACAAGUGAAGAAACAAAACCCCCGCGGAGUCCUAGCUUCACAGGAGCACCGUCCAACUGGAAUUUCCUUUCUGUGGCUGUUGACGCCCUCGCGCUGAUGUCACCAGGCUCGGGCUGCUGCUGCUGUUGCUACUGCCUCCUCCCCAGCCCAUGCAGGAGGCAGAGGCAAAGACCGCGCUAUGAAUUAUUUAAAGGUGUAGGAGCCAUUUGCAGGCAAAAGGAAGAAACGACGAAGACUGCAAAAGGGGGCAACCCCCGCCCAGCCUACUGAAAUGAGGACACAGGAGGCUCCAUCCGGUAAAGGGAGAGGAGGGAAGAUGCCCAUCGGAAUAUGCCAGUUAUUGGCCUUUCUUUUGCACCAGCUCAGCCGUUGAUGGGUCGACUUCUAUGCAGCACAUUACCGGCUACAUCAAAAGUAUUGGCCCAUAUACCGACUACUGGAGUAUCUGCGCAUUUACAUCAACUUCAACAGCAGCAAAAGUUGUACUAUGAUAAAGGGACCGCUCCCUUGCCACCAUUUCGGUAGGUGAAAAGGUUUACAUGCAGACAAAGACAGGUUGGAUACCAGCCAGUGUCACAGCCAGGAGGGAUGAGCUGGGAGCGUACAUCUAAUGGAACAAUACUGAGGAGAAAUAGGAGACAUUUAAGAAAAGAUCGUGCUUUACCUAUUACUGGGUCAUGUGAUGACACAUUUGGUGUUUGCAAUGACUAUGCCUGUGUAGAAAGUUCAGACUUGGCACCAUACUACUGUAUAUGAUCACCAGAUCAGAAUGAAGAGGGCCAUGUACCAGCACCACAGAGUUGUGGAUAUCUAUCUGAAGCUUCCGAAGAGAUGGAGAUACCUUAAGAGACUGUAUUACAUACUGGGAGUGGCAGAGUUAUACAUCGCCCAACCAAAUAUGAUGAUUUUGUCAUGGGGAAGUGGUAAAGACUUGCCCCCAAUGGGAGUCAUGUGCUUGAACCUCUGGCACCAAGUAUUUACAGUAUUUUACACUAAACACAGGAGUUACCACUGAGUAACAUACAUAAAAUUGGGCUGCAUGUGCCUAUUGAGUACUUUUUGCCUUGCUUCUGUUUUGCUCUGAUGUUAGAUAUAAGUAUGGUUUAUUUCAAUGGUGAUUCUUAAAUUGCUUUCCUUUAGAAAGUUUGUACAUUGCUUCUGUUAGAAGUGAGGAUUCUAAAGCAUUGCUCUUAGCUCUGCAGUAACCUCUUCUGGCCACUAGAGGCAUUAUGACUCAUGUUAAUAGGUCUCACUUGGUCAGCUAAGAGUCAGAACUGUUCAGUUGUUGUUGAAGGCCUGUUUGAGUAUGUUGUGCAAUGGCUCUCUCUUAGUAUGUGAUGUUUUAGUUUCUGAAUACAUCUUUGAUUUUUUUUUAACUCGA
Molecule: long non-coding RNA, 1564 nt
Organism: Hemicordylus capensis (graceful crag lizard)
Lineage: Eukaryota; Metazoa; Chordata; Lepidosauria; Squamata; Cordylidae
Exons: 3
Source: RefSeq, a predicted model, not a curated record